This 76-nucleotide transfer RNA is filed under the name Candidatus Omnitrophota bacterium. Its description in RNAcentral is "Candidatus Omnitrophica bacterium tRNA-Val". It matches the Rfam family "tRNA". Rfam says of the family: Transfer RNA (tRNA) molecules are approximately 80 nucleotides in length. The record is from RNAcentral. Lineage: Bacteria; Pseudomonadati; Candidatus Omnitrophota.
GGGCGGUUGGCGCAGCUGGGAGCGCACAUGAUUUACAUUCAUGGGGUCGCAGGUUCAAUCCCUGCACCGCCCACCA